GCAGCCCACGGGACGGAGGGAAAAAUGGCGGCGGAUUCCUUGGUUUUCACUGUUUCGUUCCCAAAUCAGAUUCGACCGGGCAGGGCAGGCAUAUCCAGUUCUCUCCCGGAUUGUAUUGGGGUGGAAAGGAUCUACAUCAGAACGCGGCCGGAGUAGCCGCCGGAGCUGCCGCAGUCUUGGUCUCUUUGAUUUGCAGCUCCGGCCGCCCGUGUGGUUGUAGUCGACCUGCUCUAAAGCUGAGGUGCUCGUCUCUGUCCAUCCACAAUGGAAGCUCAAGCUCCAGAUUGGUCCGGGUUACCAGCUGACAUAUUGAUCAGCAUAUUCCAGUUGCUCGAGUGCCCGGACCUCCUCCGAUCCGCCGCCGUCUGCACAUUCUGGCAAAAGGCGUACUCCACGCUCCACCGCAGCGGCGUCUGCCCCAGCCGGCAGACCCCCUGCUUACUCUAUUGUACCGAGGCCGCCGGUGCGAAGGCUCUUGGCAUGUACAGUCUCUCCGAACGGAAGGCCUACUCCAUGCCCCUCCCUGAACCUCCCAUCAGCAGCUGGAUUGGUUCAUCACAUGGCUGGCUAGUCACCAUGGAUGAGAAGUCUGACCUGAUGCUUCUCAACCCUAUCACCGGUGACAAGAUUGCACUCCCUCCUGUGACAACCAUGGAGCAUGUUAAACCUAUCGUAAACGAAGACGGGAUUCUUGAAAAGUACAAGCUGUCUUUCUAUGACGGAGAGCUUCUGAGAGUGGAGGAUACACCCUAUGCAUGCCCUUUGGAUAGGUACGGAGAUCUGGUCUAUCUGAAGGCAACUUUGUCGUCCGAUCCAUCGGCAGUGGAAUGCACUGUCAUGCUCAUCCAUCAGCCGUACGCGCAGCUCUCAUUCGCCAGAGUGGGAGAUGCUCACUGGAACUGGCUCCAAAUGCAUAGUUUCUAUGCAGAUUGCAUACACCAUGAUGGCUGUUUCUACGCAAUGACUGAGGUAGGCGCAAUCGAUGAGUUUGAUUUGGACCAUCUGUCGUCCACAGAAGGAUUUUACCAAAUCUAGCUGGGAUGGUCCAGAAGUGCUACAUUGUUCAGGCAUCAUGGGGAGAUUUCCUCCAAAUCAUUAAGGAGGAGAGUUUGGAUCCUGAACAACCAGAUGGUGAGACGUAUGUCACUGCUUAUGAAGUGUACAAGGUUGAUUUUGUUGAGCUGAAGCGUGUCAAAAUGAGAGGGAUAGGUGAACAUGCAUUGUUCACUGGGAAAAGCACAACAUCUUGCUUUAGCGUAAAGAAUCACCCAGGCUUGAUGGCAAACCAUCUAUAUUUUACUCAUGAUGAUCAUGAAGAAUUACUCAGCGGCAAAGAUGAUCCACGUGACAUAGGAGUGUACGACUUGGAAAAUGAUACCAGAACCAAUUUGGUUGAUCCUGAACCCUGGAGGACGUGGUUCCCUCCCAUAUGGUUCACACCCAAUCUUGCAAAAGCAGGUGCCAUGUGCGCCUGCACCCAGGGGGUGUCAACUUCUGCAAGUUCAAGCGUGGUAACAGCAAGCAGAUGAGGCCAGAGAAGAAGAUCAACAACUAGAGUGCCACCAGUCAGUUUAAUGGACCUGUUAAAAUCCAUCGUCGUGUCAGAGUUUAUGCUUCGUUAUCGUCUCUGGUUGUCGUUAAACCUUAUUUAGCUUGCUUUCAGCCUCAUAUUGCUUUGGUGAUCUUUGAAAGAAAAUUUGUAUCAUGAGUAUGAUAAAGGUAGGUGAUGUUGCUCCAUAAAUUAUGGUCA
This is a non-coding RNA of Triticum dicoccoides, 1750 nucleotides long. Lineage: Eukaryota; Viridiplantae; Streptophyta; Magnoliopsida; Poales; Poaceae. The record is from RefSeq and is a predicted model, not a curated record.